This is a long non-coding RNA of Varanus komodoensis (Komodo dragon), 730 nucleotides long. RefSeq lists it as uncharacterized. The record is from RefSeq and is a predicted model, not a curated record. The transcript is spliced from 3 exons. NCBI's taxonomy places the organism in Eukaryota, Metazoa, Chordata, Lepidosauria, Squamata, Varanidae.
AAUCUCGCUUUCAUUUCCGCGAAAACUCCUUAGUAUUCUGCCCUUCAGUUUUCAAAUAAAUUUCUCGAGUCAUUUCAGAAAUGUGAUUUAAGCCAAUAAAGCCAUGUUGCUGCCAUCCUGGUAAGUAAAGAGGGCGAAAGUGCACGGGGAAACGCCAGUAAUGCUGAAGUGAUGAAAGGAGGUUACGAGGCACGGUGACCGCAGAGACCUUGGCUGCUGGAAGGCCAGUUCGUCCCAGCUUCUUCCAUCUUGUUUCUGACUGCGGGAAGUCCGUGGAGGAAGACUAGGAACGCCAGCUUCCCCUUCAGCGGCAGCGUUUGCCCCAAGGGGCGGGGGGAAUGGUGUGCCCCUAAGCCUGGCCACCCAACUCGCCCCGGCCGAGCCCGCACCGCCUGGCUUCGACCCUCCGCACCAGCUCCUUGUGAGUCCACCCAGAUCUCCAAGGCUGCUCGGGGCUCGUCCAAACAGUGGCAAGACUCGCCUGCCUUGCCUGCCCAGUGCUGGUCAAGACAUCGCAUGCCCGGAGAGAAAAGCAGUGGAUGGGCAGAAAGAUGGUCAAAGGAAACAAAUAUUUAAAAUACGUGCCUGUAGGUGUUCAGGGAGAAGCAAAGGGUACUGCACAAACGGAUCAAUUUGUAUUCUUCCCGGCUAUAUCAAAUGCGGCAACAGAACAGUUACCUUAAAUCUCAGGUAAGUACAUCACUCUAAAGACAUGUGACCCUGGGAAACA